GACGAACGCUGGCGGCGUGCCUAAUACAUGCAAGUCGAGCGAUGAAGACUGGUGCUCCCACCAAUUUGAAGAGCAGCGAACGGGUGAGUAACGCGUGGGGAAUCUGCCUUCUAGCGGGGGCCAACAUUUGGAACCGAAUGCUAUGACCUCAUAAUAACUUUAAACCUACGUUUUAAGUUUGAAAGAUGCAAUUGCUUCACUUAAUGAUGAUCCCGCGUUGUAUUAGCUAGUUGGUUAGGUAAAGGCUCACCAAGCCGAUGAUACGUAGCCGACCGGAGGGGGUGGUGGGCCAACUUGGACAUGAGACACGGGCCAAACUCCUGCGGGAGGCAGCAGUAGGGAAUCGUCGGCAAUGGACGAAGGUCUGACCGGGCAACGCGGCGCGAGUGGAGAAGGUUGUCGGAUCGUAGAACGCAAUUUGUGGAGAAGAGCGUUGGUGACAGUGGAAAGCUCAUCAGGUGACGGUAACUGUCCAGGAAGGGACGGCUAACUACGUG
This 497-nucleotide ribosomal RNA is filed under the name uncultured bacterium. RNAcentral describes it as "partial 16S ribosomal RNA". It matches the Rfam family "Bacterial small subunit ribosomal RNA", at positions 28 to 507 of the family's 1533-position model. The record is from RNAcentral.